RNAcentral lists this unclassified non-coding RNA (193 nucleotides) under uncultured Megasporoporia. RNAcentral describes it as "sequence contains ITS1". The record is from RNAcentral. Lineage: Eukaryota; Fungi; Basidiomycota; Agaricomycetes; Polyporales; Polyporaceae.
UCGAGUUUUGAAACGGGUUGUAGCUGGCCUUCCGAGGCAUGUGCACACCCUGCUCAUCCACUCUACACCUGUGCACUUACUGUAGGUGACUUUUGGGAGGGCUGGCUUUGGCUGGCUUUUCUUUGGGUUGCCUACGUUUCACUACAAACGCUUCAGUAUCAGAAUGUGUAUCGCGAUGUAACGCAUCUAUAUA